GAUGAAGAACGCAGCGAAAUGCGAUAAGUAAUGUGAAUUGCAGAAUUCAGUGAAUCAUCGAAUCUUUGAACGCACAUUGCGCCCCCUGGUAUUCCGGGGGGCAUGCCUGUCCGAGCGUCAUUACAACCCUCAAGCUCAGCUUGGUGUUGGGCCCCGCCGCCCCGGCGGGCCCUAAAGUCAGUGGCGGUGCCGUCCGGCUCCGAGCGUAGUAAUUCUUCUCGCUUCGGAGACCCGGGUGCGUGCUAGCCAGCAACCCCCAACUUUCUCAGGUUGACCUCGGAUCAGGUAGGGAUACCCGCUGAACUUAAGCAUAUCAAUAAGCGGAGGA
This 328-nucleotide unclassified non-coding RNA is filed under the name soil metagenome. Its description in RNAcentral is "partial contains 5.8S ribosomal RNA, internal transcribed spacer 2, and large subunit ribosomal RNA". The stretch from base 1 to 120 matches the Rfam family "5.8S ribosomal RNA", at positions 35 to 154 of the family's 154-position model. The record is from RNAcentral.